Molecule: ribosomal RNA, 505 nt
Filed under: uncultured bacterium
Lineage: Bacteria
Description: partial 16S ribosomal RNA
Rfam family: Bacterial small subunit ribosomal RNA
Source: RNAcentral
GACGAACGCUGGCGGCGUGCCUAAUACAUGCAAGUAGAACGCACAGUUUAUACCGUAGCUUGCUACACCAUAGACUGUGAGUUGCGAACGGGUGAGUAACGCGUAGGUAACCUGCCUGGUAGCGGGGGAUAACUAUUGGAAACGAUAGCUAAUACCGCAUAAUAUUAAUUAUUGCAUGAUAAUUAAUUGAAGGGUGCAAUUGCACCACUACCAGAUGGACCUGCGUUGUAUUAGCUAGUAGGUGAGGUAACGGCUCACCUAGGCGACGAUACAUAGCCGACCUGAGAGGGUGAUCGGCCACACUGGGACUGAGACACGGCCCAGACUCCUACGGGAGGCAGCAGUAGGGAAUCUUCGGCAAUGGACGAAAGUCUGACCGAGCAACGCCGCGUGAGUGAAGAAGGUUUUCGGAUCGUAAAGCUCGGUUGUAAGAGAAGAACGGGUGUGAGAGUGGAAAGUUCACACUGUGACGGCAUCUUACCAGAAAGGGACGGCUAACUACGUG